Long non-coding RNA from Poecilia latipinna (sailfin molly), 411 nucleotides. RefSeq lists it as uncharacterized. NCBI's taxonomy places the organism in Eukaryota, Metazoa, Chordata, Actinopteri, Cyprinodontiformes, Poeciliidae. The transcript is spliced from 6 exons. The record is from RefSeq and is a predicted model, not a curated record.
AUAGAAAACUGGUUCAAACCGGUUUCGUUCUUAUAUUUCACUGUAUAAACUACAAAAACAUUCGUUUCUAUUAUACAUUCGCCAUUUUACACUGAGACUGCACGGUCGACGUGUGACAUCUCUUCGAAAAAAAAGCUUGUUUUUGCGGCUGUAUUUUUUCAGCUUUCUUUUGACUUCCAGCCAAUACCAUGGGAAAAGCAAAGCAAACCGUUCCCCCUGAGCAAAGAAGAACCUCCCCACGACUGGCACUGAAACCGAAAGCAGCCCCCGUGGAGACUAAGAAAAAAGCUGCUCCAAAGAAGGCACCAAAAGCAAAGAAGGCCAAGCCAGCUGAGAAUGGGAACACCAAGGCUGAGGAGCCAAAGGCUGAAGCCACCGAAACCAAAUAAAUAAUGGUUGAAGAUGUGCUCA